UUUGCUCUUUCUGGAUCAAAUCAAGCGCGAAAAGGGCGUUUGGUGGAUGCCUUGGCAGCAAGAGGCGAUGAAGGACGUGAUACCCUGCGUUAAGCCAUGGGGAGCCGGGAAUAGGCUUUGAUCCAUGGAUGUCCGAAUGGGGAAACCCACCUGACAUUCUGUUAUGUUCAUCUUCGGAUGAUGCAUAACGGGGUGAACCAGGUACUUUACUCCUGAAUACUAGGGGGUUUAGAGCAAACCCGGGGAACUGAAACAUCUAAGUACCCGGAGGAAAGGAAAUCAAUAGAGACUCCGUUAGUAGUGGCGAGCGAACGCGGACCAGCCGAGCCUGGAAGAACGAGCAGAAUGGUCUGGAAAGGCCAACGAUAGGGGUGACAGUCCCGUAUGCGAAGUUUGACAGGACGUAUUAAGUAGGGCGGGACACGUGUAAUCCUGUCUGAAGAUCGGGGGACCACCCCCGAAGGCUAAGUACUCCUUGCUGACCGAUAGCGAACCAGUACCGUGAGGGAAAGGUGAAAAGCACCCCGACGAGGGGAGUGAAACAGUACCUGAAACCGGACGCCUACAAGCAGUCGGAGGGGCCUCGAGCCCUGACGGCGUACCUUUUGUAUAAUGGGUCAACGACUUGGUCUUACGAGCAAGCUUAAGCCGAUAGGUGUAGGCGCAGCGAAAGCGAGUCUUAAAAGGGCGCAUGAGUUCGUGGGAUCAGACCCGAAACCAGGUGAUCUAGCCAUGAGCAGGAUGAAGGCACGGUAACACGUGCUGGAGGUCCGAACCGACACCCGUUGAAAAGGGUCCGGAUGACUUGUGGCUAGGGGUGAAAGGCUAAUCAAACCUGGAGAUAGCUGGUUCUCCGCGAAAGCUAUUUAGGUAGCGCCUCGCACGAAUACCCACGGGGGUAGAGCACUGCAUGGGUGAUGGGGGCCCACAGCCUUACUGAGCCUAAGCAAACUCCGAAUACCGUGGAGUACUAUGCGGGAGACACACACCGGGUGCUAACGUCCGGUGUGAAGAGGGAAACAACCCUGACCUGCAGCUAAGGCCCCAAAUUCAUGGCUAAGUGGAAAAGCAUGUGGGACGGCCAAAACAACCAGGAUGUUGGCUUAGAAGCAGCCAUCAUUUAAAGAUAGCGUAACAGCUCACUGGUCUAGAUAAGCUGUCCUGCGGCGAAAAUGUAACGGGUCUCAAGCCAUGAGCCGAAGCUCGGGAUGUGCAGCAAUGCACGUGGUAGCGGAGCGUUCUGUGAUAUAGCUUCAUGUGUCUUAAUCCCUGGCAACAGGGACGUGGACACAAGAAGCUUACUGUGAAGCCGGGCUGUAAGGCAUCCGGUGGAGUGAUCAGAAGCGAGAAUGUUGACAUAAGUAGCGACAAAGGGAGUGAGAGACUCCCUCGCCGAAAGUCCAAGGGUUCCUGCUUAAAGCUAAUCUGAGCAGGGUAAGCCGGCCCCUAAGGCGAGGCCGAAAGGCGUAGUCGAUGGGAACCACGUUAAUAUUCGUGGGCCAGUGGGAAGUGACGGAUCCUUAACGUUGUAUGCCCUUAUCGGAUUGGGUGUGCAGCCGCGGGGUCCCAGGAAAUAGCCCCACAUCAGACCGUACCCUAAACCGACACAGGUGGACUGGUAGAGUAUACCAAGGCGCUUGAGAGAACCACAUCAAAGGAACUCGGCAAAUUACCUCCGUAAGUUCGCGAUAAGGAGGCCCCAUAUCUGGGCAACCAGGUGUGGGGGGCACAAACUAGGGGGUGGCGACUGUUUACUUAAAACACAGGGCUGUGCGAAGCCGUAAGGCGACGUAUACAGUCUGACGCCUGCCCGGUGCUGGAAGAUUAAGAGGAGGGGUGCAAGCUCCGAAUUGAAGUCCCAGUAAACGGCGGCCGUAACUAUAACGGUCCUAAGGUAGCGAAAUUCCUUGUCGGGUAAGUUCCGACCUGCACGAAUGGCGUAACGAUCUCCCCGCUGUCUCUGAUGUGGACUCAGCGAAAUUGAACUGUCUGUCAAGAUGCAGACUUCCCGCGGUUAGACGGAAAGACCCCAUGAACCUUUACUCUAGCUUUGCACUGGCACCAGGAUUGGGAUGUGCAGGAUAGGUGGUAGGCAUUGAAGCGGGGACGCUAGUCUUCGUGGAGCCAUCCUUGAGAUACCACCCUUCUCAAUCUUGGUGUCUAAACCGC
Molecule: ribosomal RNA, 2169 nt
Filed under: Rhodobacter sp. SL24
Lineage: Bacteria; Pseudomonadati; Pseudomonadota; Alphaproteobacteria; Rhodobacterales
Description: bacterial LSU rRNA
Rfam family: Bacterial large subunit ribosomal RNA
Source: RNAcentral